UCCGUAGGUGAACCUGCGGAAGGAUCAAUAGAAGAGGAGGGGUGAUGGGGGAGUGUUGGAACGAUGAGAAAUUGAUUUAUUUAACUACUACAACAUCACGACUGCUGACAAUGGAUCUCUGGGCUCUUGCGUCGAUGAAGAACGCAGCAAAACGCGAAAAGUGUUAUGAUGUGCAGUCUUUGAGAAUGAGCAGUAUUUGAACGCAGCAUGUGCGAGAGCGAUGAGCGAUUGCAUGAUCGAUUGAGGGAGGCGAGCGAUUGAAGGGGACUUCAGGAGUGGGGAGUGCAACGAGAAAUUGGUGCUGCCCCGAAAAGUAACUUUUGUGUUUCUGGGAUAAUCCAUCAGAAACGUUUACCAUCUUUCUCCUCAGUGGAUCAAGACGACCCACCGAACUUAA
This 397-nucleotide ribosomal RNA is filed under the name uncultured fungus. Its description in RNAcentral is "eukaryotic LSU rRNA". The stretch from base 100 to 250 matches the Rfam family "5.8S ribosomal RNA". The record is from RNAcentral. Lineage: Eukaryota; Fungi.